AAUUUUCCAAAGGACUCAAGCCCUUUCUCAAGAUCGACACGCAGAGGUUCAGCUGUGUGGAGGUGGAUUGAGCUGCUCACUGGAGCAACGCACUGUUUUCCAGCAACAAAUCUAGUGGACUAUUGAAUCACAAAAGGGAUUUCAAGAUUCUGCUUCUGGCCCAUUUUCCACUGCCGGAACAAAGCUACGCUGUCACUUGUCCGCGUUGUGAAAUGAUGCUGACGUGGAUGAGUUACCCAAAAAUGUUCCUGGGGCACUAG
This 260-nucleotide long non-coding RNA is filed under the name Scleropages formosus (Asian bonytongue). RNAcentral describes it as "lncRNA (ENSSFOG00015024541.1)". Lineage: Eukaryota; Metazoa; Chordata; Actinopteri; Osteoglossiformes; Osteoglossidae. The record is from RNAcentral.